ACAUCCAGCGAACUUGGCAGAGAUGCCUUGGUGCCUUCGGGAACGCUGAGACAGGUGCUGCAUGGCUGUCGUCAGCUCGUGUUGUGAAAUGUUGGGUUAAGUCCCGNAACGAGCGCAACCCUUAUCCUUUGUUGCCAGCGAUUCGGUCGGGAAACUCAAAGGAGACUGCCGGUGAUAAACCGGAGGAAGGUGGGGAUGACGUCAAGUCAUCAUGGCCCUUACGAGUAGGGCUACACACGUGCUACAAUGGCGCAUACAAAGAGAAGCGACCUCGCGAGAGCAAGCGGACCUCAUAAAGUGCGUCGUAGUCCGGAUCGGAGUCUGCAACUCGACUCCGUGAAGUCGGAAUCGCUAGUAAUCGUGGAUCAGAAUGCCACGGUGAAUACGUUCCCGGGCCUUGUACACACCGCCCGUCACACCAUGGGAGUGGGUUGCAAAAGAAGUAGGUAGCUUAACCUCCGGGAGGGCGCUUACCACUUUGUGAUUCAUGACUGGGGUGAAGUCGUAACAAGGUAGGCGUAGUGCU
Molecule: ribosomal RNA, 526 nt
Filed under: uncultured bacterium
Lineage: Bacteria
Description: bacterial SSU rRNA
Rfam family: Bacterial small subunit ribosomal RNA
Source: RNAcentral